RNAcentral lists this unclassified non-coding RNA (318 nucleotides) under plant metagenome. Its description in RNAcentral is "partial contains 5.8S ribosomal RNA, internal transcribed spacer 2, and large subunit ribosomal RNA". The record is from RNAcentral.
UUCAGAGCAGAAGACGGAAUUUACAGAAAGCUCUAAAGAUUACCACUGGAGGAAAAGGCUACAAGCAUAAAAUGGCCAAGUUAGACGAUUUAGGCAAGCUAGAGGGCAAUUUUAUCCGUACCUAUAAUCACAAGCUAAGCAAAAGAGUGAUUGAAUUUGCGCUUAAGCACAGAGCCAAAAACAUCAUUGUCAACGAGAUCAAAGCAACGACUGAGGAUGAUCCGGAAGACGCGCAAAAGUUUGAGGUCAGGAAUUGGGCUGGCUUUCAUUUAAGUGAAAUGAUUGUGUAUAAAGCCAAAAUGCACGAUAUUUCCGUCC